AGUCGAACGAAGUAGCAAUACUUAGUGGCAGACGGGUGAGUAACAUGUGGGUAUCUUCCCUUUGGUGAGGAAUAACACGAGGAAACUUGUGCUAAUACCUCAUAAGUCUUUACGGAGAAAGCUUUAUGCGCCAUUGGAUGAGCCCGCACUUGAUUAGUUUGUUGGUGGGGUAAUGGCCUACCAAGACUUUGAUCAAUAGCUGAUUUGAGAGGAUGAUCAGCCACAUUGGGACUGAGACACGGCCCAAACUCCUACGGGAGGCAGCAGUAGGGAAUCUUGCACAAUGGAGGAAACUCUGAUGCAGCGAUGCCGCGUGAGUGAAGAAGGCCUUUGGGUUGUAAAGCUCUUUCGUCGGGGAAGAAAAUGACUGUACCCGAAUAAGAAGGUCCGGCUAACUUCGUGCCAGCAGCCGCGGUAAUACGAAGGGACCUAGCGUAGUUCGGAAUUACUGGGCUUAAAGAGUUCGUAGGUGGUUAAAAAAGUUGGUGGUGAAAGCCCAGAGCUUAACUCUGGAACUGCCAUCAAAACUUUUUAGCUAGAGUAUGAUAGAGGAAAGCAGAAUUUCUAGUGUAGAGGUGAAAUUCGUAGAUAUUAGAAAGAAUACCAAUUGCGAAGGCAGCUUUCUGGAUCAUUACUGACACUGAGGAACGAAAGCAUGGGUAGCGAAGAGGAUUAGAUACCCUCGUAGUCCAUGCCGUAAACGAUGUGUGUUAGAUGUUGGGAAAUUUAUUUUCAGUAUCGCAGCGAAAGCGAUAAACACACCGCCUGGGGAGUACGACCGCAAGGUUAAAACUCAAAUGAAUUGACGGGGACCCGCACAAGUAGUGGAGCAUGUGGUUUAAUUCGAAGAUACGCGCAGAACCUUACCAACACUUGACAUGUUCGUCGCGACUCUAAGAG
RNAcentral lists this ribosomal RNA (900 nucleotides) under uncultured marine bacterium. Its description in RNAcentral is "bacterial SSU rRNA". It matches the Rfam family "Bacterial small subunit ribosomal RNA", at positions 60 to 1007 of the family's 1533-position model. The record is from RNAcentral.